Non-coding RNA from Phrynosoma platyrhinos (Desert horned lizard), 73 nucleotides. The record is from the annotation of a GenBank genome assembly. Lineage: Eukaryota; Metazoa; Chordata; Lepidosauria; Squamata; Phrynosomatidae.
GCCAGAGUGGUGUAGUGGUUUAAGCAUUGGACUAGGACUUUGGAAGACCAGCGUUCAAACCCCUGCUUGGCCA